RNAcentral lists this transfer RNA (69 nucleotides) under Nematistius pectoralis (roosterfish). RNAcentral's name for it is "tRNA-Met". The record is from RNAcentral. Lineage: Eukaryota; Metazoa; Chordata; Actinopteri; Carangiformes; Nematistiidae.
AGUAUUGUCAGCUAAUGAAGCUAUCGGGCCCAUACCCCUACUAUGAAGGUUAAACCCCCUCCCUUACUG